GGCUUCGUAGCUCAAUUGAAUAGAGCGUCAGAUUCCGGUUCUGAAGGUUCAGGGUUUGAGCCCCUGCGAAGUCA
Molecule: transfer RNA, 74 nt
Filed under: Paludibacteraceae bacterium
Lineage: Bacteria; Pseudomonadati; Bacteroidota; Bacteroidia; Bacteroidales; Paludibacteraceae
Description: tRNA-Arg
Rfam family: tRNA
About the family: Transfer RNA (tRNA) molecules are approximately 80 nucleotides in length. Their secondary structure includes four short double-helical elements and three loops (D, anti-codon, and T loops).
Source: RNAcentral